GGAUCUUGCGCAAUGGGCGAAAGCCUGACGCAGCGACGCCGCGUGGGGGAUGAAGGCCCUCGGGUUGUAAACCCCUUUCGGCAGGGACGAAGCGAACGUGACGGUACCUGCAGAAGAAGCCUCGGCUAACUCCGUGCCAGCCGCCGCGGUAAGACGUAGGAGGCGAGCGUUGUCCGGAUUCAUUGGGCGUAAAGAGCGCGCAGGCGGCUCGGUCAGUCGGAUGUGAAAACCCGGGGCUCAACCCCGGGCAUGCAUCCGAUACUGCCGGGCUAGAGGUAGGUAGGGGAGAUCGGAAUUCCUGGUGUAGCGGUGAAUGCGCAGAUAUCAGGAGGAACACCGGUGGCGAAGGCGGAUCUCUGGGCCUUACCUGACGCUCAGGCGCGAAAGCUAGGGGAGCGAACAGG
This 404-nucleotide ribosomal RNA is filed under the name uncultured bacterium. RNAcentral describes it as "bacterial SSU rRNA". It matches the Rfam family "Bacterial small subunit ribosomal RNA", at positions 359 to 776 of the family's 1533-position model. The record is from RNAcentral.